UUCGGCUUAGAGUUUGAUCAUGGCUCAGAUUGAACGCUGGCGGUAUGCUUAACACAUGCAAGUCGAACGGAAACGAUGGAAGCUUGCUUCCAGGCGUCGAGUGGCGGACGGGUGAGUAACGCGUAGGAAUCUGCCAGAUAGUGGGGGAUAGCCCGGAGAAAUCCGGAUUAAUACCGCAUAAUCUCCAUGGAGUAAAGAGGGCCUCUAUUUAUAAGCUUUCGCUAUCUGAUGAGCCUGCGUAAGAUUAGCUAGUUGGUGGGGUAAUGGCCUACCAAGGCGACGAUCUUUAGCUGGUCUGAGAGGAUGAUCAGCCACACUGGGACUGAGACACGGCCCAGACCCCUACGGGAGGCAGCAGUGGGGAAUAUUGGACAAUGGGGGCAACCCUGAUCCAGCAAUACCGCGUGUGUGAAGAAGGCCUGAGGGUUGUAAAGCACUUUCAAUUGUGAAGAAAAGUUAAUAGUUAAUACCUAUUAGCCUUGACGUUAACUUUAGAAGAAGCACCGGCUAACUCCGUGCCAGCAGCCGCGGUAAUACGGAGGGUGCAAGCGUUAAUCGGAAUUACUGGGCGUAAAGCGUGCGUAGGCGGUUGACUAAGUCAGAUGUGAAAGCCCCGGGCUUAACCUG
This 627-nucleotide ribosomal RNA is filed under the name uncultured bacterium. RNAcentral's name for it is "bacterial SSU rRNA". It matches the Rfam family "Bacterial small subunit ribosomal RNA", at positions 1 to 616 of the family's 1533-position model. The record is from RNAcentral.